GCCCCAAUCUUUCAUAUAAGAUAAAUUGGGACUAUAGUCUUUUCAUAACUCGUAUGGAGUUCUGUUAACCAAUUUAGAUGGGACAUGGUUUAGUGUGUUGCACACUGCAAUCAAUGCGUUAUCUCAAAACAAUUUUGAGAAAUUUGCAUGGCUUGUUAUUAAUCGCAUUAUAUGUAAUAAUUAACGAUUCCUCCUUUUAGAUACACCAUCUUGCUGCAGUGUAUAUGAAGGAGUCCACUGCAAGAGAAUCUCAUUCUCUCUUAGAUAAUCUAAAUUUCAUCUUUAAGAUACUCUCACUUGAUCGAAUCUUAAUGUGUGAGUAUCUUUACCUAUUUGUUUCUCUAAUUCUAGUGUCAAUCCCUUGAAC
RNAcentral lists this long non-coding RNA (367 nucleotides) under Olea europaea (common olive). RNAcentral's name for it is "long non-coding RNA (OEUR_LNC012670)". The record is from RNAcentral. Lineage: Eukaryota; Viridiplantae; Streptophyta; Magnoliopsida; Lamiales; Oleaceae.